Molecule: unclassified non-coding RNA, 128 nt
Filed under: soil metagenome
Description: partial internal transcribed spacer 1
Source: RNAcentral
CGAAUGGGUCCAAAGACUCUUAAAACCUACCGUGCUCCCCUACGUGGAAAACAGGAAAGCCCUCCGGGGCAUAGGAAAUCUGAGAAGUUGAGAACUGCGCCCCGGCGCAUGGCUAAAACAAAAAAUUA